This 144-nucleotide microRNA precursor is filed under the name Melampsora larici-populina 98AG31. RNAcentral's name for it is "microRNA MIR807". The record is from RNAcentral. Lineage: Eukaryota; Fungi; Basidiomycota; Pucciniomycetes; Pucciniales; Melampsoraceae.
AAUUACUUUUAUGUGAAUUGCAUUUACGUAUGGGUGAAUUUCAUUCACGUAUGGGUGAAUAGAAUUCACUCAUACGUGAAUUGUAUUCACCUAUAUGUGAAUUUUAUUCACCCAUACGUAAAUGCAAUCCACAUAAAAGUAAUU